This 254-nucleotide ribosomal RNA is filed under the name uncultured bacterium. RNAcentral describes it as "partial 16S ribosomal RNA". It matches the Rfam family "Bacterial small subunit ribosomal RNA", at positions 524 to 776 of the family's 1533-position model. The record is from RNAcentral.
UACGGAGGGUGCAAGCGUUGUUCGGAAUUAUUGGGCGUAAAGCGCGCGCAGGCGGUCGAACAAGUCUAUGGGUCAAAGGCCGGGGCUCAACCCCGCGUACGCCCAGGAUACUGUUCGACUGGAGACACGUAGAGGCAAGCGGAAUUUCGGGUGUAGCGGUGGAAUGCGUAGAUAUCCGAAAGAACACCGGAGGCGAAGGCGGCUUGCUGGGCGUGAUCUGACGCUGAGGCGCGAAAGCGUGGGGAGCGAACAGG